RNAcentral lists this ribosomal RNA (465 nucleotides) under uncultured bacterium. Its description in RNAcentral is "partial 16S ribosomal RNA". It matches the Rfam family "Bacterial small subunit ribosomal RNA", at positions 338 to 795 of the family's 1533-position model. The record is from RNAcentral.
CCUACGGGAGGCAGCAGUAGGGAAUCUUCCACAAUGGGCGAAAGCCUGAUGGAGCAACGCCGCGUGGGUGAAGAAGGUCUUCGGAUCGUAAAACCCUGUUGUUAGAGAAGAACGUGCGUGAGAGUAACUGUUCACGUUUCGACGGUAUCUAACCAGAAAGCCGCGGCUAACUACGUUCCCGCAUCCGCGGUAAUACGUAGGUGGCAAGCGUUUUCCGGAUUUUUUGGGCGUAAAGGGAACGCAGGGGGUCUUUUAAGUCUGAUGUGAAAGCAUUCGGCCUAACCGGAGUAGUGCAUUGGAAACGGGGAGACUUGAGUGCAGAAGAGGAGAGUGGAACUCCAUGUGUAGCGGUGAAAUGCGUAGAUAUAUGGAAGAACACCAGUGGCGAAAGCGGCUCUCUGGUCUGUAACUGACGCUGAGGUUCGAAAGCGUGGGUAGCAAACAGGAUUAGAUACCCUUGUAGUC